UCUACCUGAUGGAGUCCAACAGCUGCAUCAAUGUUGAAUUUUUGGAUACAGCUGAGGAUUCCUUCUACUUUGGAGUGGUUCAACAAGAUACAGAUUUGAAGGAGGAUGAUUUCACACAGCCAAAAGACCAUCAUUGGUCCAUUGAGAGCACGAAUGGUUUUGGAUACCUCAUUUUAAACCAAGAAGACACAUUCGUGCUCCAGACCUGCUGUGAGAAGAAACUCUGCAUCAGGACCUAUCGGAGCUCUUUUGUAAACGAAAAGUUGCCAGUCAUGAUAUAUACCCAAAAGAAUGACCAGACAAUGGUGGCAUGUUGUAAGGAGCACAAAAUUCAAGCUGUACCAAUGACGCUCCCCACAGACAUCACUGGAACGAAUCACGACGCUUUGUUCUACCAGACGCGACUGCGUGGAAGUAACAGGUUUAAGUUUGUGUUCUCAGUGGAUCCCGACAAAGUUCUUGGAGUUGUCAAUGAAAACAACCUUUAUAAACUGACCCUGCUUCCUAAAGUUGAUGAUGUUGAUACGAGAGUUGAGUUUGUGGUCAAAUAAUUAAAGAAGCUGUCUAACCCUUUAUUGAAUGCAGAUAUCCAAUGUAACAAGUUCUUGAAGUCAUAACUCAGAGUCACUUUGUGAUUUAAAUGGAACAAAUCUGAUCUGAUCUUAAACCAUAUGGAACCUCAACAUGUUCCCUGUUGUAUCAUGUUGAGGUUAAAGUGUGUCCAUCCAUUGUGUUGACCACCUCUGCUACUAGGGUAUGAAAUCUUUAAAGGCAGCUUUGAAAUAAGUUUUAUCUCAUUUGAGAUUUUGUUUGUAUUCAGUUAAUCAUUGAACAUUGUGAGGUUGCACAGAUGCAUGUUUGGUUUCUCUGGCCAGUGCAACCUCAGAUUGAACCCAAAAUUAGAACUAUAAGCUCAUACAACAAUCUAGCUAUUAGCAUUUGUACAUAAGAAUAAAGGCUUUGUACUUCUUUCAUUGUGUUUGUUUUGUCAUGAGUGGUGUACUACAAAGAAAGUUGAAAACAGCCAGGCUCUGUUAGCAUGAGCUAACUCGACUAAUCCCCGCCAGAGAUGACGGGUAAGAUGACAAACACGUCAGAGGAAAUCUGUAAUCCUAUAAAAAUGAAAGGCAACACAAGCACUGUAAAUUAGUCAAGAGUAAUGUGAGAUGAAUUUUUCUGAUGAAACAUUAAUAUCUGGGCAGUGUAAAAAGGUUAAAAUGGAGCCGUGGCACGUACACACUCGGGGUCGACAUGUAUACUCUAUAAGCUCAACAUAACCUGCUAACCUAUUCACUGCUCUGUAGUACACCCCAGCUGAGCCUUGAUGGAAAGAACAGAGUGACACCAAAUGUGGAAGCUGUAAUAAAACAUGUUUACUGCACAGGUGUUGUGACAUCACGCUCACUCCAGCCAAACACAAAGAAGUGCUGGCGUGGAAGCUGCAUGCAAAGACUGUAUGUGUGUACUGUAUAUAAGUGCAUGUUCCAAGAUUAUAAUGUAAUAUCAUAAAGCUUUGAUUUGACUGUCAUAUUAAGUCUUAUUUUACUGAUUUAAGAACAGUCCUGGAAUUUUCACAAAUUGAUCAAAAUAAACAUGAUUUAUUUUAAAGCAUUUUUGUUUCUUUGAAAUGUGCAGAUUGUAUGUGAAGCAGUUUCUGCUGCAAAGUAUAACAUGACCCCAGAGAGACGCAGUCGUGUCCUGUUCCUGCCUCGAAGGUUAAAAUACCUCCGAGGCAGGAACAUGAUGGAAGUUUGGAGCUCAUAAUUUCACACCCAGUCAGCUGGACAUGCACAGGCAGGGUUAGCAUUACUGGUUUGGUUGAAUUUAAGAUUUAGCCGGUCUGACCUUUAUUAAACCUUCAAGCAGAGCAUUAAUAAACCUUUAUAUAAGGGUAUGAGAUCAUAUAAGCUGUCUGUUCCUACAGUAGAGGCCACUGCUCUCUGUAUAGCCGCAGCAUUGCAGGGACAUCCUGGUCACAAUGACACUAAAACAGGAAGUGGGGCAUGGAAAUGGUUUUUCCAAACAGGGGUUAGUGUGUGCUGCUGCUGAUGGGUGUAAGAGAAAAGGCAGCAUGCGCACACUGGAAGUAAACAUGUUUAAGAGAUCAGCCACACAAAGGACACAAAGGACAAAGAAUGAACGAGAGCUUAGACAGCUGUAUUCUAUAAGACUUGAUCAAGUCAUGGCUGUGUUGUUAAAACGUGUUUGUAGCUUAAAUUUAGCCCACAGUUACUCAGGAACAGCCCAAUCAAUGAAAAGAAAGACAAAGCUUGAAUCAAUGAACACAAACACUUUUGAAUCAAUGAAAUAUUGUCAAAAUGAUAUUUACAGAGAACACACUGAUUUCUUUUGUUAAACACGCAGCCAGGACCAGCGUUUCGGUCUUCCUGAGCGUCCCGGCCCACAGUCAUAUUCACUUGCUCCAGAGCAGAGCGACAGCUUUGCAUAUGCCCACGUCGUUGUAGUUGAAGUAACAAAGACCAGUGAAGGUGAUCGUGGACAGGAGGAAGAGAGCUGCGUUGGCCAUCUUGAUCUUUGUGUCCCCGUGAACGUAGUCUGUCAACACCUGCCCGAGACCCCUGCAACAACACAGGCAGAGGAAAAGAUGAGCAGGCCUCCCUUUGCUUCAGCUGGGUGACACUGAAGCGCUUUAAAUGACUGCACAGCACAGCACAGAUGGAAAAUGUGCAACCAGUGUUUCUAAAUUUGACUCUGACAUUAAUGCAACUAAUGCCCCAUAAACAUGUGCUGACAUUUCCACGCGCAACAGAUGUUGUGUUUUUUUUAACAUCUGAAUGAACUCUGUCCACACAUGAUGACAGCCAGGAGCCUCAGCCAUCACGUCUAUGACAAAGACCUCGCUCUGCAGCCUGACACACUAAUAUAGUAAAUUCCUGCUGGGACUAAAAUGCUGCUGCAGUUGCUCAAUUUAUCCAAAACCUUUAUUUUUUUAAAGGGAUUUGAGGUCCAGAUUAUAAAAUAUGAUUUCUGAGCUGCAAAAUCUUCAUCCAGCAACAGUCACAGUAACAUCUCGCCUUACGUUUGAUUCAUUCAGACUCUAAUUAACCAAGCUAACCAAGCAUAAGAGUCUCCAAUUUGCAUAAAAUAACUUACAGUUGUGUUCAAAAUAAUAACAGUGUGUUUUAAAACGUGAGUAAAACUCAAAAUCCGUAUAAUAUUUUUAUUCCUGUUCAUUGGGAGCACUGCACAUUAAUUUUUCAUUAAAACAUGAAGAAAAAGUAUCAGUAUUUGAGUUACUUUACAGAAAAUGAAGGAAAACAUGAUAUUGGGCUUCUCAAAAAAUAGCAGUGUCUGCAUUUUUCAUUACAAACUCAAAUAUGUACUCAAUAAACUGAAAAAACGUUAAGAUUUAGCAGUCCUGUGAAUCACUAAACUAACUUUUAGUUGUCUAAACACUGCUUUUGAGAACUGCUUCCCAUCUGUGCUGCAUGGAGUCCACCAACUUCUGGCAGCUGUAAACAGGUAUGCCAGCA
Molecule: long non-coding RNA, 3494 nt
Organism: Oreochromis niloticus (Nile tilapia)
Lineage: Eukaryota; Metazoa; Chordata; Actinopteri; Cichliformes; Cichlidae
Source: Ensembl